GUAGGUGGCAAGCGUUGUCCGGAAUUAUUGGGCGUAAAGCGCGCGCAGGCGGUUUUUAAGUCUGAUGUGAAAGCCCACGGCUCAACCGUGGAGGGUCAUUGGAAACUGGAGAACUUGAGUACAGAAGAGGAAAGCGGAAUUCCACGUGUAGCGGUGAAAUGCGUAGAGAUGUGGAGGAACACCAGUGGCGAAGGCGGCUUUCUGGUCUGUAACUGACGCUGAGGCGCGAAAGCGUGGGGAGCAAACAGGGAUUAGAUACCCUGGUAGUCCACGCCGUAAACGAUGAGUGCUAAGUGUUAGGGGGUUUCCGCCCCCUUAGUGCUGCAGCUAACGCAUUAAGCACUCCGCCUGGGGAUACGGCCGCAAGGCUG
This 371-nucleotide ribosomal RNA is filed under the name uncultured organism. RNAcentral's name for it is "partial 16S ribosomal RNA". It matches the Rfam family "Bacterial small subunit ribosomal RNA", at positions 527 to 896 of the family's 1533-position model. The record is from RNAcentral.